GACGAACGCUGGCGGCGUGCUUAACACAUGCAAGUCGAGCGGUAAGGCCCUUUCGGGGGUACGACGAGCGGCGAACGGGUAGGAGUAACAACGUGGGUGGACCUGCCCUCCAGCUCUGGGAGUAAAGCCUAGGAAACUAGGGUCGUAAUAACUGGAGUAUGACUCCAUGACGCAUGUUGUGGGGUGGGAAAGCCUUGUGCGGCUGAGGAUGGGCCCGGCGG
This 221-nucleotide ribosomal RNA is filed under the name uncultured bacterium. RNAcentral's name for it is "partial 16S ribosomal RNA". It matches the Rfam family "Bacterial small subunit ribosomal RNA", at positions 28 to 236 of the family's 1533-position model. The record is from RNAcentral.